Long non-coding RNA from Cynocephalus volans (Philippine flying lemur), 1698 nucleotides. RefSeq lists it as uncharacterized. The record is from RefSeq and is a predicted model, not a curated record. NCBI's taxonomy places the organism in Eukaryota, Metazoa, Chordata, Mammalia, Dermoptera, Cynocephalidae. The transcript has 3 exons.
AGCCGCCCGCCGGCCCGCGGGGCGCAGGACGCGAGUGUGCGCGGGGGACGGGCCGCGCGCGGGACACAAAAGGGAAGGGCCGCGCGGGGGCGGCGGGCGGGGAGCCGCGGCCCCACCGAAGGGACCCCCGGCCGCCGAGCGGCCUCUACGUCAGCGCCCCGGGUGGCGCCGCCUCCGCCCGCCGGCCUGGGCCGCCGCUCCCGCCGCCGGGGAGGCGGGCCGGGGGACUCGCCGGGGGAGAAGAUAAUGAUUGCGGUUAUCCAACAUUUACCAAAUGCUUGCCAGGCACAGAGCACAAGGAGUUACCAGCAUCAGCCAGACCUUUGUAAAGCACUUAGCAUAUCACCUGUGUCCUGAUGGCUGCUGUCACACACUCAGACUCACGCCGGUGCUGUUAGGUGAACUAUCCAGCUCAGGGGGGGCCUGUCGCUGUACUGCGUGGGACACACACAGCAGGCACCUCUCCUACUGGAGGACAUCCUUGGGGGCAGCUCUCUCUUCCAUCAAGUUUAUUCUACUCUCAGUUUUUCUCCGUUCUCAUGGCUGUGUCCUCAGCAGCAAGCACAGCACUCCCUUUGUCCUCGCAGGCAAUGGUAUGAAUGAAGGUAGAGACAGUGAACUAUCUUGAAAUUCUUGCCUUUGGCCUGAUUGUUUUGGGAAUCGUAAAAGAGCCAGGGGGAGACGUUAGAAGUUCUGUGUCAAUUGAAAAAUGAAGAAACUGAGGGCAAAUUAAACCUAAGAGGGAAAUGUUCACCCUCACUAGAAAUCAAAGUCAUGCAAAUGAAAACCCAUUUUUACGUGUCAAAGUGGCAAAGGCCAUUGCCUUGACUGUGCCCAGCAGCUGGGCAGAUUCAGACAAAGGGCUCCUGGGCCCUGGCAGGGAAUGCCAGGCCAUGUCUGGGGGCCAAGUCGGUGGGAGCACCAAAAGACUCCCACCCCAGAAACUCCUUCUGGUGAAAUGUAAACCAGGAAUAAUAACAUGAAAGAUUGCGAGACUCCACUACAGGGCACCACGGACACCUGGAGUCUGGGGGCCAUCCCGGCACACCCUAUCCUGCCUCAUAGCCUUCAAAGGGUCACAGCACUCAGGACACCCCAGAGCCUUGCCCUCAGGGUGGCAUGGGCUUUUCUCCCUUCCCCAUGGUUUCCCUCUGCCAGAUGUUCUAUCGGCUGCUUUCCAGACUGGCUUCUCUCAUCGCUCCAUCACAUGCCCACCCCCCUACACCCCAUCUUAUUUUCCUAGUUUUCUUGCCUGAAAUAUUAUUUGUACACAUGUAUAUUGUCCCCUCAAUUCAAAUAUAAAUACCACAAAGGCAGGGGCCUUGCUGACUUCUGCCCCAUGGGGCCUAGAGCAGAGCCUAACAAACUGCAUAAUUACUUGUUGAACCAUGAGUAAAGCGGAGUCCAGCCCCACUGGUGGGUAAAGACAGGCAGGGACUCUAUCCUGGUGAACCACACUAUGGGUCCACGGAGCUAUGGCAGGAAGUGGAACAUCAGGGAAAAGCAAUUGGGAAAAAUGUUAUAAAAUAUGUAUAAAGAACAUGAUUAUUUUUUGUUAAAAAAAAUAUAGAGAUAUAUAUAUAGAUAUAGUGCAUAGAAAAAGGAGAGCACACAAAUGUUUAACAGGUCUCAGGAUGAUGGAAUGACUGGUGAAUUUUCCUUUAUAUUUUUUAAACUUACCACAAUAAAUAUAUUACU